Molecule: RNA transcript, 2053 nt
Organism: Cajanus cajan (pigeon pea)
Lineage: Eukaryota; Viridiplantae; Streptophyta; Magnoliopsida; Fabales; Fabaceae
Gene name: retinal-binding protein
Source: RefSeq, a predicted model, not a curated record
UUUGUUGGUGGAGCGAAGCCUAGUCAUGUAGCGUUGACAGUUGUUGUAUAGAGUCGGCGACUUCCGGUUGGAGCAUGGACUAAACACUAAACAGAAUAGAAUAUUCGAAAGGAAUAAAAAUUAGAGCAAAUAGAAGAAGACAGGGAGAUCCGUUCCGAUCCGAUCCGAUUCUCCGAUUCCGAUGGCUUCUACAGAGGGUCUGGUGCCCAUAACCAGGGCCUUUCUGGCGUCUUAUUACGACAAACACCCUUUCACUCCUCUUUCUGCUGACGUCUCUCGCCUUUCUUCUCAGAUUCGUUCAAUGGCCACUGAUUUGCUCAAUCAUCGUCCUCCUAUCCAAGGAGAAAGUGACUUAAUAAAUGAAGCUGCCCAGCAACCUCCGCAUAAAAUUGAUGAGAACAUGUGGAAGAACCGAGAGUACAUUGAAGAAACAAUUUACUUACUUGAAAGUUCUAAUUGGCCAGAAGAGUUGAAGCAGCAGUCCGCGCCGGAUAGUGCUGAGUUUGCCAUUACGCUUGGGCAGCUGAAAGAUAAACUUCAUCAUACAUUGAAGGCUUUGGAAUCUUUCCAAAUUAAAAAUGCUGAACAUGUGUUUAACACAGUUAUGACAUAUUUGCCUCAAGAUUUUCGAGGAACUCUACUUAGACAACAACGGGAACGCUCAGAGAGGAAUAAACAAGCAGAAGUUGACACUUUGAUAAAUUCUGGAGGUAGCAUACGGGACAGAUAUGCUUUGUUGUGGAAACAACAAAUGGACAGGAGAAGGCAAUUAGCCCAACUUGGUUCUGCAACAGGAGUCUAUAAAACACUUGUGAAGUACCUUGUUGGGGUUCCUCAGGUUUUACUUGAUUUUACUCGGCAGAUAAAUGAUGACGAUGGGCCCAUGGAGGAACAGCGUCAUCGCUAUGGACCACCCUUGUACAGCCUCACCUCAAUGAUUCUUUCUAUCCGACUCUUCCUUUCAUUAUCAUGGACACGAUAUGAUGCUAAGAAGUUAAAAAGGGAACAAAUCGUUAUCUUGGAACAAGCUGUUGAUAUCUAUACCAUGGAGUUGAAAAGGUUUUUGACAUUUAUCAGUGAGGUCUUUGCAAAUGCACCUUUCUUCAUUUCAGCAGAGGUUGCAGGUGCAUUGGAAGCAAGCAAAAAUGAUGACUACAAAGAGAUAGGUGUUCCAGCUGGGAAAACUUAUGAGGUUUUACUUACUGUUGAUUCUGUUAACUCAUACAUUGCAUGGGAUUUUUCAUUGGUACAAGGCAAGAUAAAUAUGGAUAUUGGAUUUAGUUUGGAGUUUGUAAGUUCUACUGGGGAAAAAACUCCAAUGUUACCGUACCGUCGAUUCGAGAGUGACCAAGGGAACUUCUGCACGUUAAUGGCUGGAAGCUAUAAACUGAUCUGGGACAACACAUAUUCAACCUUUUUCAAAAAGGUAAUGUAUCUAGGCAUGUUGACCGAUUCAGUGAGAUGCAAACUGUAUAUCACUUGGACUGGUUACUAAACACAAAUGCUUGUUGGGCUAACAUACUGAUCAAAUUGCAUGGGGAGUCAGGUUCUACGGUACAAGAUAGAUUGUAUACCUCCUGUCACAGAGUCAGUGCAGUCCAACUGAUGCAAGUUGUGGACGAGGAAGGAUGGCCGAUUCAUUUGCUAGCAUUUGCUAGUAAUUUUAAUCCAAUUAAAAACACAUGUUCCAAUUACCCAUGUCAAGAUUGAUCCACCCCCUAUUUAUUAGUGAUGGGAAGAGCUGGGAAAAAUUAAUCUUUUGUAUAAAAUUGUUAUAUAUUUAGUUAUUAUGUGUGGUUGUAGCCUGUAGCAAGCUGUGACUGUGCUACAAUGGGCGCAAAUUUAAUCCUCAGUGAAUGUAUAUUUUCCAUUUCUACAGGCAAAUAAUCGCAGUGGAAAACUAAAGAGAUAAACAUGUGAGGAUCAAGUGGGUAUGGUUUCAUGUCCCCACUGUAGAUUAGAAAUUAGAUACCGGAUUUGGUGAGUUUAUUUUGCAAGCAUGUGUGUAUAGAAGAAAAAAAAAAAAAGACAAGUAAAUAUAGGUUAUGCCACA